UUCGUAGAUUUCUGAUGAGAAGAGUGAAAAACUGAUAUUGCUGUUCCAUAGGGGGCAGUGAUUGAAGUGUGAGAGGGAGUCGUGCGGAGACCAAGGGGGAGGUAGAGAGUGAAGUGGAGGUGAGAGUGAAGUGGAGGUGAGAGUGAAGUGGAGGUGAGAGUGAAGUGGAGGUGAGAGUGAAGUGGAGGUGAGAGUGAAGUGGAGGUGAGAAGAGGUGAACUGGAGGUGAGAAGAGGUGAACUGGAGGUGAGAAGAGGUGAACUGGAGGUAAAGGAGUGCAACUGAAAUUACUAUCCCCUUGGGGACAGUGUUUGAAGUGUGAGAGGGGGUCGUGCGAAGGCCAAGAAGACGGGGGUGUAGGGAUUGGCGGUGCCGAGGAAGUACCGCGGAAGUCGUGCGAUAACCAAGAUGGUUGGAGUGGUGAAGGAGUAUUGAGAUAGUCGUGCGAAGGUCAAGGGUGAUGAGGUGGUGAUGAGGAUGUCGUGCAGAGACCAAGAGGGAUAGGAUUGAGAGUGAAUGUGAGCAGUGUGUAAAAAAUUUUGUGCAUAAAAUCUUGUGUGUGUUUGUGUUUGUGCCUGUGUUUGUGUUCGUAUGCCUGUGUUUGUGUUUGUGCGUAGUGCGGUUUUGUGUUUUGUAUGGCCGAGGGUCGUGUGUUGCCAAAACCUAUUAAAAAGGCCUUCAUUUUGCCCUCUAUAUGAUUUCUCUGGUCGUUAAAAUACCCCCCCAGUUGAUACGGUUUGAAAUUCUUAGAUUGUGAUUUUUGGGAGGGGUUUCAAUGUUGCACAGUUUCAAUGCUGCGCGAGAAAUGAAUAUACAAGAAGAAAUUGUGACAGAGUGAGAACUGGUGAAGUGGGAAAUGAAAGGAAAAAUUUUGAAUGGACCCACAGGGACAUAAUAAUUCAAUACACGGCUCUUUUGGUUCAAUGCUUUUGUUUUAAACGUCUUUUUUCGGGCCAUUUUGAUUGAACCUUUUCGAUGUUUUGGGUGGCGCGCACUCUGAAAAAUAUGCGGAUUUUACGCAACUUUUGUUAGACUUUUUCAAAACGAAUAUUUUUGCAGCAGGCAAACUGCGCGGGUGCAGCAUUUUGCGGCCGGAGGUACUAUAUGAGAGAGAAAUCUCUUAGGAAUAGUGAGAGCAUUUGUGUGAACGUGAGUUCACACAAUAUACCUCCGAAUUCCGAUGGAAUAAGAAGAUUUAUAUGAAUUUUAUAUAAACUUUAUAUAAACUUUAUACAAACACUUCCUAUUUCUUGGCCCUGCGAUUUAUCGCUCAAGUCUCGGGCAGACAACGUCUCCCCGAGCAAGGUGAAACAGUGGAUUACUAGGCAAUGCCAAAAUCUACAAACUCACAGAUCUUUAGAUCUUUUUGCUACGAGUCAGUGGACAAUCUUUAAUUAAUAACUUCUUAUUAGUUAUCUGGUUG
Molecule: unclassified non-coding RNA, 1423 nt
Filed under: Metschnikowia bowlesiae
Lineage: Eukaryota; Fungi; Ascomycota; Pichiomycetes; Serinales; Metschnikowiaceae
Description: partial external transcribed spacer
Source: RNAcentral